This 253-nucleotide ribosomal RNA is filed under the name uncultured bacterium. RNAcentral's name for it is "partial 16S ribosomal RNA". It matches the Rfam family "Bacterial small subunit ribosomal RNA", at positions 524 to 776 of the family's 1533-position model. The record is from RNAcentral.
UACGGAGGGUGCAAGCGUUAUCCGGAUUCACUGGGUUUAAAGGGUGCGUAGGUGGGUUGGUAAGUCAGUGGUGAAAUCCCCGAGCUUAACUUGGGAACUGCCAUUGAUACUAUCAGUCUUGAAUACUGUGGAGGUCAGCAGAAUAUGUCAUGUAGCGGUGAAAUGCUUAGAUAUGACAUAGAAUACCAAUUGCGAAGGCAGCUGGCUACACAAAUAUUGACACUGAGGCACGAAAGCGUGGGGAUCAAACAGG